This 20998-nucleotide unclassified non-coding RNA is filed under the name Diabrotica virgifera virgifera (western corn rootworm). RNAcentral describes it as "heparan-sulfate 6-O-sulfotransferase 2". The record is from RNAcentral. Lineage: Eukaryota; Metazoa; Arthropoda; Insecta; Coleoptera; Chrysomelidae.
UUUCAAUCUGUUCUGUGACUUGAAAGUUGAAAGAUUCUUUUUAUAAAGAAUAAGAAUGGUCACUAACAUGGAAGAGAUGUAAACAAAUAAAGAUAAUUUUAAAUUAGUCUCAAUGGAUUCAUAAUGAAGAAUUUGAAAAGUGUUUCAGUGCAAGUUGUCAACAGCGAUUUAGCUUUGCUGUUACCUAAUGGUGUCUAUGAGAUCAAACAAAUGGAAAGCAGGUCCUCCAGAUUAAAGCAAAUAUGUCUUUUUUGCUUGGUGUUGUGUAUUUUUGGGAUCUUCGGGUUUGGAUAUUUUUGUCCAGAUAAGGUCUGUGCACUGAGCUCGCGGGAGGCUGUGUAUGUUGAUGAUAAUUUAGGAAAACCGUUGGCUCACACGAGAUCCAAAGUGGGCCUAAGCUACGACGAUAUGCUUAACGAUGAUUUUACCUUCGAUAUGGAUUCGCACGACGUCGUCGUGUUUCUUCAUAUGCAGAAAACAGGUGGUACAUCAUUCGGAAAACACCUUGUCCACGAUCUGGAUUUGAAACGUCCAUGUACGUGUCCUAUAAGCCGCAAAAGAUGUUAUUGUUUUCGGCCUCAUUCGAAUCAAAGUUGGUUAUUCAGCCGAUACACGACAGGAUGGAAAUGCGGCCUACAUGCCGAUUGGACGGAAUUGACGACUUGCGUCGAUGAAAAAUUAGACGAGCUUGAAGAUGUAGUUAAGAGAAGAUAUUUUUAUAUAACGCUGCUGAGGGAGCCCGUAGCCAGAUACUUAUCAGAAUUCCGCCACGUGCAAAGAGGAGCAACCUGGAAAGGAUCCAGACAUUUUUGCAACGGACGGUUAGCCACAGAUAAGGAAGUGCCUCCUUGUUAUAAAGGAGAGGAUUGGGAGGGCGUCAAAUUAGACGACUUUAUGAACUGUCAGAGCAAUUUAGCCGUUAAUAGACAGACUAGGAUGUUGUCCGACUUGGAACUUAUAGGUUGCUAUAACAAAACGUAUAUGCCACAAGCCGAACGUGACAAAAUCAUGUUGGCCAGCGCUAAGAAGAACCUCCUCGCCAUGGCCUUCUUCGGACUAACAGAGUACCAGAAGAUUUCCCAAUAUAUCUUCGAAGAAACCUUCAAUCUCAGAUUCGCAAUUCCUUUCGAACAAAACAACGCGACGGUCUCCAGCUACACCCUAACAACUCUAACGUCAGCUCAGUCCGAGAAGAUUAAGAAGUUGAACAAUUUGGACUUGGAGCUGUACAGUUUCGCUAAGAAAAUUUUAUUCGAGCGGUUCGAGAGGUUAAAAAGUCGCGAUGCGGACUUCAAGGGCCGGUUCAAGAAUCUGGGAGUGUUGAACGUGAAGCAAGGGCCUACCGAAUUCGAUUGGGAUAAAUUGGAGGAUCCUACGGAUUCUCCUUAAGUCUAAGGGCAGCUCAAAUAAAGUCUGAUAUUAGAAGUGCCAUGAUUCCCCGUUUUUCUAUGAAAAAUAAUUGUAAGGGUUGUACAGUGUGAACGGAAGACGCAUUUUGGUUAGAUGCGUAGCCGUUAGAUGGAGGUAGUCUUAGGUUUCUGAGUUUCGAAACGAUUUUUUUAACAAACAUCAGCUUAUUUUGUCUUCCCUACUAUCUAAGUAUUUUUAACUUAUUUAUUACAUUGAUUUGAAUAUUACAACACUAAAUAUAUAAAACUUAUGGGGACUUUAAUCAGGAAAAAGGCAAUUUUUAAAUAUUUUUAAAGAAAAAAGUAUUAUAUUUAUAUUUAUAAUUUUUUUAUAAAUUGUUAAGAAGGUUUCGAGGUAUACAAAAAAAAAUUGCAGUUUUAGUUGUUUUUCAUCACUGCAGAGGGCGUCUUCCAAAAGAUACAUUUUAAUUUGGGAGACAUUUUUCUGCCUUCCUGUAACAGUUUUUUUAAUACCAACGGUAUUCAAUUUGUGAGACUUAAAACUGAUAAAUAAACCUUUAAAAAGUUUUUUAUAUAUUUUUUAUGGCCUUUACACGCAAUUUUAUAAAGAGUUCGAAAAACGUCUUGUUGUGAGGGUGAAUUUACUCCUGUACUAUUUUUUUACUUUUAUGUUUAUUUAGUAGUACUUAGUUAAAAAAAUUUUGGUUUACUGAGAUUGGUGUAGCAGAUUCUGAGAAAAACGUCGUCUCCCAGUGUUGAAAAAUGUGAUUCCUAAAAAAACGCGUUUAAAGUAUUUUUACUGUAAUUUUAUCGAAUAAAAUGGUCAUAUUUAUUUUUUCCUCUAAUUAGCGAUUUCUGGAGCAUAUUGGCUGCACUCACUGUCCACACGUGCUCGCUUUAUACGUUUUAGAGAACUGAACUGUCAAGUUGCAGCUGCACAGGUCAGUCAUCGCGCGCGUUGUUGUACACAAACGCGUUUUAGCACAGGUAGGUACCGUAAUAAAUACAGCUAUAACUUCGUUUCUAUUUCUAAAUUCUUAAUACAAUUUUAGGAUAAUAUUUCUAUGAUACUAAGAAAUGUUUUUACGUAAAAAAAACCAAAAAUCGAUUUUUUUUAUGUAGAAAGUAAAAGUCCCUUUAAUAUUCUUAAGAAUUAACCUAAAAAUAUGUUUUUUUCAUGAGACUACCUCCACUAGUAAGUGUUAGAAAGUGUGCAUUAUAUCAGAAUACGAUUUUAAAUUAACGUUGAAGGCAUUUUGUGUUAAAUAUAACUUGUUUAUUAUAAGAAGACGCUGACGUUGUUUCACGAACCUAUGAUAAUUUCCAAAUGAAAUUUGUCUGUAUGUAUGUCCUAUGGGAAAUUGUAAAAGGGCCAUUUUAAUACAUUGAAUUUAUAUAGUUGCUCCAUUAUAUCUUUACACAAACGUCAUGAUUCAUUUGCAAACACGUUAAAUCAAGACAUUAAGUGAAACGUAGGUCCAAUUGAUAUUCUUGUUCUCAUGAUCAUUUUUCAGUGCGUCAUUAAUUAUGACGUCAUAUACUGUAUUGGCUGUGUCGAGACUUAUUUCAUGUAAUUAUUGACGAAUCUGACAGAUGCCACAAUCGUACUUAGCCAUAGGUGAAAAGCUUGUGGAAUUAGUAAUUUAGUAGAUUUGAUUUUUACACAAUAUGUUAACAUGUAGGUAUUUUUUAUAAAGGGGAAUAUAAUUAAAAAGUAAACAAUAUUGUUAAUUAAAUUUAUAAAUAUGGAAACAUUAAAAAAUGACACAAAACUAUCCAUAAACUGUGUUUUUAUCUUCUUCUCUAGGUGCUGUCUCCGCUUCAAAAGUUAGCAAUCAUCAGAGAGAUCUUUAUUUCUGAAACAGCGGCUCUAAAUAAUUCAUUGUUAUUACAUCCAAACCAGUUCCUAAGAUUCUUCAGCCAUGAGUUACGUCUCCUUACUAUGGAUCUUUUUCUUGCAUAAUGAUCUGGAGUAUUAGAUAUACAUCUCUCAUCACAUGUCCCAUAUAUCUCAGUUUUCUUCUUAUUUGUUAGUUUUCGUUCCUUAUGCGUAAGUCUCAUUACCUCCACGUUGGCUAUUCUAUCUACUCAUGAGAUAUUUAGCACUCUUCGGUACAUCUCGAAUGUCUCUAGUCUCCUCACGUCAAUGACUAACUUUUAACGAACUAAAUUUGAAACCAAAACACAAAAUAAUGCACAAAGACGUUGUGAAACACAAGUGAAGUCGAAUUCGAAAUUUCAAAAUGACAGGUACACAAAAUACUGACCUGAAUAAUAACCGUCACUUGACUCUUUGACACUUCUAAAAAAUGGCCAAAAUGGACGAAGUUUUCGUCAAAUGUUCGUAAUACGUGUAUUUGAUUGGCUAGAAAAAACGCGCAUUCUAAAUAUCAACGAAUCAAACGUAGGUUAGGAAUAGACAUCUUAUGUAUAUAACCAUUGUAAUGCUGCAUUAUUUUUGUGUUUAAUCACGGAGCUACCGCUUUUUCCGUCUCAUCUAACUUAAUGCAUUAGAGAGAAAUCGAAAAACUGUGACGCACUGAAAAAUGAUCAUGAGAACAAGAAUAUGUAUUGUCAAUGCAAUAAUUAGGAAAUGGUUAUUAUCGGUGGACGUAUUUUAUAAAGUUGUAUUGUACAUUUCUAUUUAACUAUGAUUUUAUUAACAUUUCAACGUCCACAUCGGACGUCGUUGUCAAAAUACAAAAUAUUAAUAAAUUAACAAAAAUAUUGUUGCUUAGUAAAAAAUUCUUCUAAUAAUUUAAUUUAAUCUGACUGAUUUAUAUCGGCAAUUCAGACAUAUAUUAUACAUUUUAAAGUAGAAGACUUUAAAAUUAUAUUGCCAAUAUUUAUGAGUUGCGUUUUUAUUUCCCAUUUAGAAUAGUUAAUUACACAAAUGCCACAAAGAAAUAGCUUCUGAACAACAUUGUACAGUGUGUCCACGGAUGGGGUGCCCAAGAGGAAAAACUUUCUUAUUUUCAGUUUAAGCGAAAAUGGUCAUUCUUGAUAAAAAUUUUUGCUUGUCCUAAAACCUCAUACAACGAAAUAAAAUUCAAGUUUUUCAAAACCUGCUUAAUUUUGUAGCCAAUUUUAUGCAAAUCCCUAUAAAUUUUUGCACCAAAUUCAAAAUCAUAACAAUAAUCUAGUGUUGUUAAGCUACAAUGUAGCUUAGUAACUGUCAACUCCGAUAAAUAAUUUGCGAAUUGUCAUUCUUUUUCGACAAGAAAAUGUUAAGCAUCCAAUCAUAAUUUUUUUUUUGAACACUAAGCAUUGUCGAAAAGAAUGACAAUUCACAAAUUAUUUAUCGGAGUUGACAGUUACUAAGCUAGGUAUAUUGUAGCUUAGGCAACAUUGUAGCUUAGCAACACUAGUUUAUUGUUACGAUUUGGAACUUAGUGCAAAAAUGUAUAGUAAAUUUACAUAAAAUAGGCUACAAAAUUAAGCAGGUUUUGAAAAACUUGAAUUUGAUUUCGUUUUAUGGGGUUUUAGAAUAAGCAAAACUUUUAUCAAGAAUGACAUUUUUCGCUAAAAUUCAAAACAAGAAAGUUUUUCCUCUUGGGCACCCAAUCCGUGGACAACUGUAUAAUAUAUUUAACACAAUAUAGCUUUAUAAAAUAAACAACAAUAUAAGUUGUCACAAAUUCCAAUAAACACAACAAAUGCUCUAAUGUCACUGUCACUGAAAAUGAUAAACGUCAAAAUUCAUAAUAAACAAGGUAGGUAUUAAAGACAUGCCGUAUUGUUUAUCCUUGUUUAACUUAUUGAGGUUUCUACUGACAAGCGGUUUAAUUGUGCGAUAGUAGUUCCUGUGAAUAAAAAAGAGACCUAGUAUAAAAAGUAAUUCGUGAAUAAUUACAUGCACGUGCAAAGAUAGAAUGGAAGAACUAUAGCUAAAUUUACUUCAUUUGGAUGGUGCUUAAUAUUGUCAGUUGUAGAUUGAAAAAUUUCUUUGAAUGUAUCUCUAGGCAUCUCCGUAAACAAAGCAAAGCGGAGAACUAUUGUUAGUCAAUGUUUUGUCAGUUUUUUGCUAAUAGAAAAAUAAUCUAUGUAAUUUUCUCUUAAAACGAUUUUUAUCAAAAUCUACACAUUCACAUAAUGCUAGUUGUGACGUCAUUGUCUACUUAAAGUAAAUAGAGUAUAAAUAUAUUUAUAUACGGCAUUUGUCAAACUUGGUGAACCAACGACGUAAAAUUUACGAAGUAAAGUGCAUUAAAUGCUUGGCAAGAUUUUGAAAAGACAAAAUAGUGGCUCACUAGGUUUAUAGUUUGCUGAAAAACUUAAAUAAAUUAUAUUUAUAUGUGAGAUAUAUUUAUGAGAUGUUAGAAUAACAGUAAAGAGCAUGUUUUCCGUUAAGUAAAUGUGUCAGCUAUGUAAGCAAUUUAUACAUAGUAUGUAAAGGAUACUUUAAGGGAUUUUAAACAUCCCUUAUAACUGGAAAUAAUCCUUACUGUUUUUACUGGUGAUUUUCCUAUUGUUGUUUUCGACUUGCACACCUAUUUCUUUUACGAAAAUAAUAUGUUCAUAUCACUUGAUGUGUUAGAAUUUUUAACAUAUUAUCCACUAAAGAAAGUGAGAUGUUUUUUUUCGUGGUGAAUUUGAAUUAUUCUUCUUUACUGUUAAUGUGUAUCAGAAAUUUAUUUACUGCUUCUGGUCCGUGAGGCCAAAUGGAGAACACACAUCAUCUACAUAUCUCCACCAUACUGGGGGUUGUUGGUGAAGUUUAUGCACAUUGUUUUGUUCGAAUUCAUCGAUGAAAAUGUCUGCUAAUAAUGGAGAGAAGCAUAAGCCCAUGGCUUGUAGUGGGGUGAGAGUGUUCUUCUUUGGUAGUCUGUCAGGUUUUCCUUGAAUUUAAUGUCAUAAACAUUUCCUGAAUACAGGUCAUAAAUUUAAUCACAUAUUCUGGGACCAAAAAUAGUUCGAUAAGACCUAACUUAUCUUAGUACAAAUGUGCACAUAAAAAAAGUUACAACCUUUUGAAGUUACAAAAUGAAAACUAUUAGACUUUUUAUUGAAAAUGGACAUGUGGCAUUCUUAUGGCAGUAGCAUCUUAAGAAAAAAUAAUAGUAAAAUUUGGACACCCCAUAAAAAUUUUAUGGGGGUUUUGUUCCUUUAAACCCCCCCAAACUUUUGUGUACGUUCCAAUUAAAUUAUUAUUGUAAUACCGUUAGUUAAACACUGUGUUUUUAAAAUUUUUUUGCCCCUAGUACUUUUUCGAAAAGUCAGUUUUUAUCGAGAUAUUUUGAAUAUUUGUCAAAUCGACCACAUAUUUGUAUAUGGUUAAGUACGAUUAUGGAGACUUGGUAAUAAUAUGAAAAUUUAUGUAUGAUUUACAUUUUUAGGUAUAUUUUGAACCGUAUAUUAAAAAAGCUACAUCUCGAUACAAGGUGCCUUCUCGAAAAAAUACAAAGAGGCAAAAAAGUUUUAUAAACACUGUGUUUAACUAAUGGUACCACAAUAAUAAUUUAAUUGAGACGUACACAAAAGUUUGGGGGGGGGGGGCUUAAGGGAACAAAACCCCCAUAAAAUUUUUAUGGGGUGCACAAAUGUCACUAUAAUUUUUCUUUAAGAUGUUCCUGCCAUAAGAAUGCCACAUGUCCAUUUUCAAUAAAAAAUCUCUAAUAGUUUUCGAUAUAUUCGAAAAAAUCGAUUUUCAUUUUGUAACUUCAAAGGGCUGUAACUUUUUUUAUGUGCAUAUUUGUACUAAGGUAAGUUAGGUUCAUUCGAACUAUUUUUGGUCCCAGAAUAUGCGAUUUAAUUUAUGACCUGUAUUUUUGUUUCACCCUGUAUAAUGUGUUUUCUAGCGAUUUGGUUGGAUCUUUUUUUAGUUGUGUGUAAGGUCCAUUUGCGACCGAUUCUUGGAUUUUCUCCUAUUAUAGACUCUUUUAAGAGAUUUGAUAGCUUUGAGUUCCUUUUUACUAACGUUUGAUUUUGUGCUUUUCUUCAGUUCACUUUUACACAGUACUCUAUUCCUCUGUUUCGUUUGUUGGUAGUUCUUCACAGACUUUUUCAACCGCACUAAUUAUGUCUAGUUUGUGAACGUUACAGCAUAAUUUCGACCAGUGGUUCUCAACCUUUUUGAGUCAAGUACCACCAAAUUAUUUUUGGUACCACUUAACUGAAAUACCUACCUCGUAACUAGGUAAUCUAAGCAACUCUAAUUUAUAUGCUGGAAUUUUAAAGAAUAGAUAAAAAAUUCAACAAGAGUAAAAAGUUCAACAAACCAAUUAGUGAGAAGGUUGUGUUUGGGUAUUUCCACAUAACUUGUUAUUAUCUGAUUCAGUGUUGCUCAGAUAUAGUCGAAGAUCAGAUUCUAUAUUAUUGUUAAGUUCUUAAAUAUUUAGCAUUGCGAAAAAUCCAUUCUCGCACAGGUGUGUUGUCGAAAAGUGUAUAAGUAUUUUAAAAGCGCGUUUUGCAAGAGAAUGGAAAUCAAAAUUCUCUUCUCUGUUAUUUAUUAUUGCGGUGCUGAUUUUGGCGGUCUUGUCUUUUUGCGUUUUGAGUACCAUCGCAAUUAAUGAUAUGUACCACCAGUGGUACAUGUACCACAUGUUGAGAACCGCUGAUUUAGACCUUUGAGAGCAUCUCACUUAAUGGGUGCCACCUUGCUUAAUGCAGAAAAAUGUGUAGCAAAUCCAUCAGCAGAAUGUAUACAAUUAUACGUAAUACAUAUACAACAAACAAUACAUAAAUACACAAAAAAAUCAUAAUUUGAUUAUCCUUUCGAUUAUUAUAUGGUUAUCCUGAAAGUACAAACACCACUUUCAAAACUAGCAGCAUAGCUGUUUGCUAUUUAAUGUACAGUCGGAAAAAUGAAAGAAUGCCCAUGAACGAUCACAUCAAUCACUUAUUUUGUAUUUGCUGUCCUUUUCUAUAUAUAACAAACGUUUGCUAUAAAAAAAGAAGCAAAUACAAAAUAAGUGAUUGAUGUGAUCGUUCAUCGGUAUUCUUUCAUUUUUCCGACUGUAAUUUUUAUCACAAUCACAUUAUGGCUUACGACAUGCCACAAGAAAACAGUUUAGAACCUUUUUAUGUAAGCUAUUUUCUUGUUAUUCUUAACAUCUCAUAGUAUAUGCAAUUUUAGACGCGUAUUUUAGUAUUUGUAAUCCAUAUGUUUUUAAUCUCCGCUAUCUUAGCACCUCAUAGUAGCAUAUUUGCAUCAUCAACAAUGUCAAAAAAAGUGAUUUGUCCUGUAGCUGAACAGUAUUUUUAUUAUUAUGUGUCACCGGAAGGUGACAUUAUUGCGUUCGCGGGUACAGUGGACAAAUUGUCGCCGACAAUUUCUAACCUCACUCAAUAUAAGUAAUACUGUUAGUAGAUAAAUAUACAAGGUAUAUUUACUUUUAAUUAAUAAUAAUAACUACUUAUUAAAUUAUACUAGGUAAAUAUAUAACGGGUAGUUCUUUCAAGAUGAUAGACUCAGUAAAACACAAGUUAAAAAUAAAGUAAAUAUAUUAAAGAUAAUUAUAUACAGUUUAAAACAAAUAAAAUAAAAUAUAAUUCCGUCUUCUGCAAAGGAAAAACAAUAUUAAACUGUAUUACAGUUAUCCGAUUAUAAUAGCAACAUUAAAAUAAUACGAUAAACAGUAUAUUUAUAUAUAAUAAAAAUCUCGCUACGUUAAAUCAAGAUAGCCCUAUAUUCCGAUCCGGAGAUUAUUCCUCGCUACUACCGCCUACUGCGAUAACGAUCAUGGCAAGACCCACGUCACUACUGUGGCGUCCGCCUAGGCAUAGUCCCACCUCACAUACGGUGCAUCUUUUGCCAAGCCAGCUAAUGCUGGUUCAAUACGCUAGCAGCAGCUGUUGAGCCAUGGUUAGUUCAAUUCGCUAGCCACGACUGAUUUUAUCAUUCACCUGGCUCGCCUUAAAUAUGCUCUUGCUGCCACUACUUCUUCAAUUUCUCCCAGCGGCGCUAUGCGCCAACACGGAUGCUCCUCCGGUCGUCUCUGGUAAAACAGCUCAUCGCUUGUGGUGGCAUCACAUCGGUACAAAUAUACUUUAUUUAUCUAUUAACGAUAUUGUUUAUUUCAUUUUAAAGUGCGCAUGCGUUUUGCUGCUAAUUUGUCGCCGACAGGCACCCGCGAACGCACUUAUAAUACCGAAACUACUAUUAGAAAAAGUUUAAAAGUCGACUUGUCUGAGUGAUUUUGUUUUAUCGUAAAAAUAAACAACUUGACAGAGGGUAAGGUUCAAACGCUGUGGAUCUACGCUGCAGCGCUACGCUGUGGAUCCACAAAGUAGUUUCUGAUGAUUGGCCGUGGGUUCUUGUGUGGAGUGGACGUUCCAUCCCAGACGAGCGACUAUGGCUGGCCAUUGUCGCUCGUCUGGGAUGGUACGUUUGAUUUGCAUGGAAAUUUACGGCUAAUCAUCGGAAAAUACUUUGUGGAUCCACAGCGUAGCGCUGCAGCGUGGUCAGUCUGUUUUGAACCUAAGACUUUAUCUCCUCACUGCAUAUAAGGUAUUGCGAUUGCGGAACUAAUUUUAUUAAUUUAUUUUUCUCGAAUAAGGAAAAGACACCCUUUUUUAACUUAUGCAUCCUUUUUAACGCAAAUUAGUCCUAUAAGAGAACAUGUACCUUGCUGUCCGUUAUUUUAAUACGUAUUUUAUUCAGAUCGGUAAGUUAUAUACAUAAGAAAUUGUUGUUUUAAAAAGACAAAAACAAAUAAAAUAGGUUACUUUUUAUACUAGAUAAUUUCAUAUUUCGGUUGUUAUAUUAGGCUAUAAAAGACACAUCGAAAUAGUUUCACGUAGGAUAAUUGAAACACCAGUGAAUGUACACUACAAAGAACAAACUAUUGCUAAAUGAAACAUUAUUUGUGUUAAAUUUAGGUAUUAAUUAUCAAUUGGUACAAACUGUCAUGAAAAUAUUUAUGAUUUUUAUCAAAGCUCAACACUGUCAUGCUGUCAUCGCAUUUGAAUGUAUAUAGAAGGCUUUAUAAUUGUUAAAUUGUUACAAUUUCAAUUCUUCUAAUUUAUAAUGAAUUUUAACACUUAAUUUAUUUAGUUUUUAUUUAAUUUAUUUGCACACAUUAUUUACAAUAAUUUAUAUAACACAUUUUACUAUAAUUUAUAUACAUUUGUAAAACAAUAUAAAACGGAUUUAAGCGCGCACAACUACAAUCAUAAUAUCAAUCCCUACAAGACUUUAUUCUCUAUUUAUAUAUUUUAUUUCGCUCUGGAACCAUCGGAGCCGGCCCUAAUCUAGAAAUUUCCAGUCCAGUUAGAAUAAUUGUGAAGUCCGCUCAUCGUAUAAAUCUGUACCUGGAACGCGUAGAGCCUUCUUCAAUGAACUCGUAUUUUUCUCGUCUAUCACUGGUUCUCGGAUCCACACACUAUAUUUUUUAAUAUAUAACAGGGGUCUCAUGUAACCGACAAGACAAAUCCCAAAGCUGAUGACUGAGUCUCAAUAGAUCGCAGUGUGGAAACUGCUCUACCAGAUACCGAAGAAAUAUUCUUCUUGAGAAUAUCUCUAAAUUGAAGCACAACUUUCACUUACUGGCUUCUACAAUCCAAUAUAUCACUGCACGCCUCUCAAAACACUAUCGGGCGUGACUCAAAAAAGUAUACUCUAGCUAGAGGUUGACUAACAAACAUGGUCCGCUCUUCUCAAAGCCGACCCUGAAAUUGAAGUUGCUUCUCAAUAAAGGUUCCUCCCGGGAUUAUACCCCAUCAAAUCAAACGACAAUCGUUUAUGUAAUAACAAACUCGAUAUACUGGACAAAUUUUUAGAAUAGAUGUACAAGAGGUUGUCAGCAGCGUUGCAUUAAUUCGUCCUUAAAUCCGUAGAAUUGAGCGAUGCAUAGUUGCCACAUUUAAAACUAAGCUUUUAAUCCAAUAUUAAAGUUACAUAAUAGAUUCUUGACAGUUUGUUCCAAUUGUUUUAUUGUAAGUUUAUUAAAAUAUUUAACAUUACCAAAGAUUUAGUAAAUAACGUUAAUUUUAUUGUGCAAUUAUCCCAACAAAUCGUUUUGAAACAUUCUAAAUACGGUAGGUAUCUGUAGUAUUAAAACAAUUUGUUUAUGCAUGUCUUUAUAUUUAUUUGAUAUUAUGUACCUACACUGGGACCAUCACAUCAGAGAAGAGUUUGCAAGUGCUUUGUUGGGAUAUUAUUCAAAUUAGGUAUAAGUUUGAUAUAUUAUUAAUUUUUUAUAUCUUUCAAGUUUUCACUGCCUUGGAAUUCAGCAAGACUCAUAGGGCACUAUUAACAUGACAUGACUCCUCCAUAUUGUUUUGACGUUAUGAUUUUCACUGAAUUAUCAUACAGGGUGGGGCAUUAGUGUGACAAAGUCCAAUUACUCGUUUGUCGUAAGAGAUACGAAAAAAAAUAUUUAGGUAAAAGUUGGGGUACAUAUGGGACCAUAAUUUACAAAUAUUUUCCAAUAUACAGGGCCACCCGUAUUGACGGGGUGCACAAACUUAUGUUUUUUUAAAUGGAACACCCUGUAUAUUUUUACAUUUUUAGAUUCUCCUCGAUGUCUUAUUUCAUAAAAUAUGGGGUUUUGUAAUAUUAUACGAGGUAGUUUAAAAGGUAAUUUUUUUUUUGUUAAUUUCGUAGCAAUAUUCAAACCCGGUAGAAUUGAAGGGAUUUAACAUUAAAAUUUCUAUUUAUGUUCAAACAAAUUUUAAUACAAUCUACUAUUGUUAAAUAUUAUUAAUAUAGCGAAAUGUUUAGCUUGGGAGCAGUCGCGCUCACUUCUGUCACGUAAGUAGUCAAGCGUAGAGAAAAAAUCUCACAAUACAAAUUUAAAUACGAAUUUAAAACAAAUUUCUAUUUUAUAAUAUUUUUAUUUACUUGUCAUGUUAAAAAUAUCUAUUUCUAACAAUUUGAAAGCUAAUUGGUUCUCACCAAAGCCAUAAAUUCCACAAAAAAAAAUUAAAAAAAUGUUGCAAAAUUUUUCAUUAAGUUAUCACGGAAAAGGAUAAAAUGUGAGAUUUUUUCUAACGGCGCGACUGCUCCCGGGUUAAUUUUAGUAUACAGCGUUGGUCGAAACUCGAAUGAGUAUUUUCUGAGUUUUCUUAAAUGGAACACCGUGUAUUUUAGUAUUGUAAUGAAAUGAGUUAUUCGUGAUUUUUAAAGUCAAACAUUAAUUGCAACAAAAAUUACGUGAAAUGUUAUUAAGUGGCCGUGAAAAUAUUCAGUCAUAAAUCAUUUUUCGAGAAAAAAUACAUAUUAAUCUAUACUGAUCAUUUAUAUAUCAAUAUUGGUUGAUCUAUCAAAAUACCUACGUAGUUAAGCGUGUUGGUGCGUAAAAUAUUAAUAAAAACACAAUAUUCUACCUAGUUGGCUAUGACACUAAACUUGCUUAAACAUUUGACAUUAUACUAUUUUUAUAGUUUUAGUAGCUUUGUUUGUUACUAUUACUAAUAUGAACUUUUCUAAUGAGGAACUAAUGAAUAUCUUUUUUCUGCUAGGAGAGUAUAACAAGAAUGUGCUACUAGGAAUAAUAAAAAUUUACCGUCAGCAAUUCCUUGAUCGAUGACAACCAAGAAGGGAAGGUUUUGAAAGUUUACUAGAACAGUUUCAACGGACUGGAUACUAAGAUUACGAGAAAUCUGAUCGAACAAAAACUAUUGUAAAUGAGUAAAAUUGUAAAUGAGUAAAAUGGAUUAAAUGUAAUCCUUAGUGUCACUGAGGAUCUGCAUAUUAGUACGACCGUUCUCAUAAUCUAAGUGACAGGUAUGUUGAAGUUGAAAUCGUUUUAGUAAACUUUCAAAAGUAGUUUAUCUUCUUGGUUGUCGUCUAUCAGAUAAUUGCUGAUAAUAAAUUCUUAUUGCUAAAGUAGAAGCCAUAGUUAGAAUACAGUGCAGGUAGCAUAGGGCAAUUUAUUUCUUACCGGAGAACGGCCGACCACGUUGCCGGUUUUCCAUUAGGACGGGAUUUAAGAAUCAUAGCACUGGAAUAUACGCGUACACAACAAUUGCCUAUGGUUGUAUACACGCACCUACCACUGUGCCAACAUGAGCGGCAUCCAUGCGCGCCGUAAGACUAACACUGCAUUCUAACUCUGGCUUUUACUAUAGUAGCAAAUUUUUGUUAUACUAUCCUAGCACAAAAACCACAUUAAUAAGUUCCUUAUUAGAAAAAUUCAUAUUAGUAAUGGUAACAACGCAACUGGAACUAUAAAAAUAGUAUAAUGUCGAAUGUUUAAGCAAAUUUAGUGUCAUAGCCAACUAGGUAGAAUAUUAUAUGUUUUUUAUAAUAUUUUACGCACCAGCAAGCUUAACUACGUAGGUAUUUUGAUAUCAUAACCAAUAUUGAUAAAGGAUCAGUCUAGAUUAAUAUGUAUUUUUUUUUGGAAAAAUAUUUUAGAUUUAAUAUUUUCAUGGCCACCUAAUAAAAUUUCACGUAAUUUUUGUUGCAAUUAAUGUUUGGCUUAAAGAAUCACGAAUAACUCACAAAUUAAAGCACUUAGGUAUAGGGAAUGCUUAAGAAAUAAAAAAGUACCCUACAAUAUCAUUCCAUUACAAUACUAAAAUACAGGGUGUUCCAUUUAAGAAAACUCAGAAAAUACUCAUUCCAAGUUUCGACCAACCCUGUAUACUAAAAUUAAACAUUUCGCUAUAGUAAUACUGUUUAACAAUAGUAGAUUAUAUUAAAAUUUGUUUGCACAUAAAUAGAAAUUUUGAUGUUAAAUUACUACAAUUCUACAGGGUGUGAAUGUUGCUACAUUAACAAAAAAACGUAAUUAUCUUUUAAACUACCUCAUAUAAUAUUACGAAAACCCAAUAUUUUAUGAAAGAAGACAUCGAGGUGAAUCUAAAAAUGUAAAAAUAUACAGGGUGUUCCAUGUUCCAUUUAAAAAAAGUUUGUGUCACUCUGUCAAUACGGAUGGCCCUGUAUAUUUGAAAAUAUUUUUAAAUUAUGGUUCUGUCUGUGUCCCAACUUCUAUCUAAAUCAUUUUUUCUUCGUAUCUCUUACGGCAAACGAGUAAUUGGAUUUUGUCCCACUAAUGCCCCACCCUGUAUAUAAUGUUGUUAAUUUACUCCAUGUGUCUUGCUGUACUAAAAAACUGGAUUUGAAUUAUUUAAUGAUUAACAAGUGCUCAAACUACUAAAACAAUAAGAGUCUCCAUUAUUUCAAUAGAUUCUUCAUUUUUAAACAAAAACUUUAAUUUUACCUGGCGCGGCCCGAAUAAUUUUAUUAAUUGCUGUCUCUUUUUAUAUUUUCUAUCUCUUUCUUCCUGGGUAUUUGGCAGUUCAUCCAGAAGUGUCAACCUUUAACUUUUUCCUAUUUCUGUUAAAUACAUUUCAUCCUCUGUUCCUUAAAUAUAUGAUGUACUUUGGUUGUGUUUUUAAAUUUUGUUUAAUUUAUUUAUAUUAACCUCAAGAUUGGCGUCAAAUGUCAUUUCCUAACUGUUAGUGUACGUUCAUAACGGAGACCAUCGCAUCGUAUCCUCGCCUAGAUCCUAGCAUCGUAUCCUAGCCUAGAUCAUAGCAUCGUAUCCUAGCCUAGAUCAUAGCAUCGUACUCUUCAUGUUCGUGAAUUCUCGCAUUUAUGCAUUUAGGUCAGGAUAUGAUUGCGAUGGUCUCCGUUAUGAACGUACACUUAGAAACCAAGAUUGAUGCUAUGUUCUUAUAUUGUUUUAAAAUAAUUACAAUAUCAAGUCAUAAAAUAGUUUUUGAUGAUUUAGAUAACGUUUUAGCACUAACUCUAUAGUGGCAGCUUGAAAACUAUUAAUUACAGUAAUGUAAUAAUAUUUAGUAUUUUUUUUUUACUUUUUUGUACUAAGCAUAAUUAUGUGAUUAAUGCUAUUUAUGUAUACAUUUUUAUCACAAUUUUAUUAUUAUUUUAACUACUUAAUUAUCUAAUUGGCGUAUUGAAUGAAGUGUUGUUGCUCACGAUUAAUUUUAAUUAAUGUUAACGAUACUUUCCAGCAGAUGUCUCUUGUGAAAUGUAAGUUACACUUAAACUAUUGGUUAUAUCCUCGUAAAUCCAUCGUACGUCUUCAAUUUGAUGUCAUUUUCGUACAGCACUUUUGUGGCUUGGUUCCCUUGUGUAAAACAACUCGAGUGAAUUCAAAGUUAACAAACAUUUAUUUUCCAUUAUUGAGUUACAUAAUAAGGCGUAUAAUCUAAAAAAUGUUAAUAUGAAAUUACUGGGAUUUAAUAAUUUGUUCGAUUUCAAAAUCUGGAAGUCCCAUGAAUUCAAGAAAAGAGUUGUUUUAAAAAAAAUCCACUUUUGUGGCUUGGUUCCCUUUUACAAAAUAACUUAAGUCAAUUUGCAUAAAGGAACCAACCCACAUGGAUCUCUUCUGCAGAACGCUGUCAUGCUGCAACGAUAAUUUUGGUUGGUUCUUUCGCUCAUAGAGGACGGUAUAUAUCGUAUGUGGCUUGGUUCUUUUCUGCACAAUUAUCUACGGAGUAUUUUACAACCUAUGAGACUAUUAAUAGGAAAAAUACAUAUUUGUGGUUUGGUUCUUUUCUGCAGAAUCCCAUCCAAUUAUAUUACAGUCUACAACAAGCCCAAAUGUAUUUUAUAAGUUUCCAUGAAAUAAAAAUAAUUAAAAUUACUGAUUAACUCUUUGAAAGAAAUAAAUAAUAGGUUUGUUCUAGCAUCAGUUUCAAACGGUUUGAAACCAUCAGCGAAUAGUGGACCAGCGCGAGUAGAGGGGAUCGCAGCACUGGUGACUGUAUUAUGUUCUCUCACUGACCAACUGGUUGAUGACGGUUUCUGACUAGUUUGACUGUUUGCUAGAACAAACAUAUUGUCAUUUAAAUGAAACAGGUACAAAUAUGACAAAACUAAUAGAUCACGGUAAAAACAAAUAAAAACUUGUGGCUAACGGACCUGCUUCCAAGCCAUCUCUCUCUCACACACACAUACGAUUAUUUUUUUCCUUUGUAGUAAUAUGUUCACAUAUAUGAAUUCCCGUAUAGAUUUCGGAUUAUUUCCUUUAGUUAACGAAAUUUUAAGCGGUUGGAUGUAAAUUGACGACGUGCAAUGGACUUGAGAGGAAAUAAUAUAUAGUAAUUUUCAGAUUAGCUUAUUCGAAAAAUAAAUAUCACCUUUUACACUUUGGAAUAUUUGUAUCCUUUCUUAAAUCACAUGUAGCAUCGUUGUACAAUAAGCGCCACGCUAGUAGACACACGGGUACCUAAUUGCUGGGCUUGGGCAAAUCCGGUCCGUUCUCACCUGUGACUUUCAUGUCUGUCAUGUCGUGUGACUCUUAUGAAACUAUUCAAAAUAAUUGUUUUUCCAUACAAAAAAUACAUUAAUUAUUAAUAGUGUUGUUACUCUGCUUUAAAAUAAGUUUAUUCAAACACCAAUAAUAUUACAAUACUUUAUAGCUUUUACAACUUUAACAGCAUGACAACUAUAAACUUCAAAUACACCUGUUCUAUAAACUGUCAACUUUCUAUGUUUAUAUUGAUUUCCAUACAUUUUCUGACGUUCUAGACGUCACGAGCCAUAAAAGUAAACAGUACAACAAGUGAAAGAUCCAGGACUGUAUUAGCUCAAUGUACCCGUGUGUCUACUAACGUGGCGGUUACUGUAUAUUCGUCCGUCAAAAACCCCAACCGUAGUGAAAAAUAAAAGCUUUUUUCAAAAUCUCCAAGUCAUAUGCCACUUAUUAUCUAGCUGGAAGUACACAUUAGCUACAUAACCAUUUAUUUUACUAUAGAAAUGCAAUAAAGUAGUGUAAUAGAAACAACGAACGAACAAAACCUACCAGUAAGUUUAGUAUACAAUUUUAAUGUUCCAAACUAAAUAAAAACUUUAAAUAGCAAUACAUACACAAAAAAAAAACAAUUUGUCAGUUACUGCUCUACCGUCAAAUAUAUGAGAAAUAUUGCACCAUAAUUUGUGCGAUGUCAUUCCGUCAUUUUUUAUAGGUUAAUAUCCACUACUUGAUGUUAAAUAAAUCAUGUUGUAUAUGUUGGUACAACCAACAUAAUACCUUUCUCAUACGAAGACAUACGUCUAGAAAUACUUAUUUAAAAUAAGUGCUCUAUCUCUCUGUUUGUGUGUCCAACGCCGUUCCUCCGUCUCUCUUUUCAUCUAUUGUGUUCAAAUUUCUACAGUUUGCAUGGCUUCCUCAGCUAGGCCCAAGUUCUAAAAGCGCUGUCAACCCAAUAACUCUUUUAAUUUAGUGAAGAUAUUGUAAAUCAGUAUACCAGUUUCAAGUAGUAAAAUAAAUGAGUCCUUCACGGGUUAAUAUUUCUAUGAUUAUUACACGUUCAGUGAAGUUAAAAAUGUCGCGUAGUACCUUUGAGCAUUAAAUGGAUCAAUAAUAUUUUUCCCCUUUUUCUGGUCUAAAAUACGUUUGCCAUAGAUUUUAUUACGACACGUAGUGUUUUUUACUGUUGGAUAAUGAAACAACCCUUUCAAUUUCAUUUUCUGGCCCUCCCUCUUAAAAUAAAUCCAACCGGAUUUACUUUUCUUAUAUUUUGCUUUAGAAGAAGGUAACAGUAGAGCCCUUAGAAUAUAAAAUAAACUUUAAAUCUUAAACAAUAAGCUUUAAAGCUUAACUUAAAUAUUCUAAGGUAGAGCUUAUUAACCUCUUAAAAAAAGACGGUGUGACAUUGAAAUGAAUUACUUUCUACUUUAAUAAUUAUAUAGAGAUAACACUCAAAAUAUCAAUACAAUCACAAAUACCAUUUACCAUAGACUUACCUUAGCUUUAUUCCGAAGACAUUUAAUAUAAACAUAAUUCUCCGUUCAGAGUAGCAAUACUUACUGAUAAAUGUGACUAAAAUAACGCAAACAUUAUAGAUAGUUCCCACUUUAAAAUUUAGAUUAUACAGAAUAAAAUAAACUAAAAAUGGGAGACAAACAAUAUGUUACAUAUGUAUAUAUGUUUUUGAUGUGCGACAAGAAAAAAUAUUUCUUAUAAAUAACUUUUAUGGCAAAUAAUAUGUUAAAUAACUGAUUAUACAGGGUCUAACAAAAAGGCAGGUCAUAAAUUAAAUCACAUAUUCUGCGACCAAAAAUAGUUCUAUUGAACCUAACUUACCAUAGUACAAAUGUGCACAUAAAAAAGUUACGACCCUUUGAAGUUACAAAAUGAAAAUCUGGUUUUUCCAAUAUAUCGAAAACUAUUAGAUUUUUUAUUGAAAAUGAACACGUGACAUUCUUAUGGCAGGAACAUCUUAAAAAAUAAAAGUGAAAUUUGUGCACCUCAUAAAAAAUGUACGAGGGUUUUGUUCCCUUAAACUCCCCCAAACUUUACUAUCCCAAAUUGUGGUACCAUUAGUUAAACACAAUGCUUUUAAAACUUGUUUGUCUCUUAGUACUUUUUCGAUAAGCCAGUUUUUAUCGAGAAACAUUUUUUAAAUCCACCACAUAUUUGUAAAUGGUUAAGUAAGAUUAUAGAGAAUCUGGUUGUAAUAUGAAAAUUUAUUUAUAAUUUACAUUUUUUAGGUAUAUUUUGAAACAUAUUAAAAAAGAAGCCACAUCUCGAAAAAGCUGGCUUAUCGAAAAAAUACUUUUUUAGGCAAAAAGUUUUAAAAACAUUUUGUUUGAUUAAUGGUACCACAAUAAUAAUUUAAUUGGAACGUACACAAACAUUUACGGGGUUUAAGGGAACAAAACCCCCCAAAAAUUGUUAUGGGGUGCACAAAUUUCACUGUAAUUUUUUUUUUAGAUGUUCCUGUCAUAAGAAUGCCACGUGUUCAUUUUGUAAGUUCAAAGGGCUGUAACUUUUUUUAUGUGCACAUUUGUACUAAGGUAAGUUAUUCAAUCAAACUAUUUUUCAUCUCAGAAUAUGUGAUUUAAUUUAUGACCUGUCUUUUUGUUACACCCUGUAUAAUAUAAAUACAUCACAGAAAAUAUUGUCAGUCGCUUAUAUAGUACCUAAUUUAUUUUUUCUAGCAUAUAUUUCGUGAUAUUCAAUAUAUUACAUAAUGGGGCAGCUGUUUAAUGGUAAAUUUUAUGCGUAAAGGUUUUGGUAACUAGUUCUAAAUUAUUUUUUGUAAGAUCAACAGAUUCCAUAAGUGGAUACAAGAGUUCAAUACUUGUUCACAACUUUGUUAUCGAUUCUAUAGCUUGUUAGUCAAAAUCUUAUUUACCUUUCGCUGUUGCCAAAUUAGGUACUGUACCGACAUUAUAUCCAAACACAGAAUAAUUUUGUGUAUUAUGUGUCAGUGGCAUCUCGUGUGAGCACUGGGUACUAUAUUAUUUACAUUUUUACGAAAUGUACAUAAAAUGCAUUUGGAUAGGAAAUUAUUGCCGAAUCCCGAUUAUCAAACAUUAUUUGAUACAGGGUUGAUAAUAAAAACAAAACUUAGAGUAAGAGACAAUCUAAUAUUUGAUUCGCUAAUACCCAAAAUAGAUUUAUAUAUGUACACACUUGUUAGAUAAUUGCAUUUUUACCGUGUUUAGAAUUAAAAUAAUAACAUAUCUUAAGCAUUUUACGUUUAUAAUUGGUAAAGUGAAAAAACGAUAAAUCAGUAGAGAAAGAACAGAAUAAAAAAUUAUUUUUAUUUCUAUUAAUAUGCUAUGUUCCUCUGUCAUUUCGCUUUAAACUUAGUUCCAGUUAUCCCAUAAUAGUUUUUUCUGUUUUCCUGUUUGUAAUAUAUAAUAAUCCUAAGCCUAUUAUGCUAAAGUCCGUCCCACCUUGACUUUACAGUAUAGGGAACAUAGGCAAUGCAGUCCUUAUGAGAAUUUUUAGCGCGGUUAUGCCGAUUUUAUCGAAAAGAAUUUGUAAUCGAACAUUAGAGAGAUUAAAUUAAAACUGUUUUAGAACGGCAAUAUACAAUUUUAGGAUUCAUAUGCGUAAUAACUCUAGUAUAUUUUUUUCCGUCAACGUUUUUUAAUACGUGAGUAUUUUUCAGUUUUACGGGGGUAUAUUUAAGUUUCUUGUGGAGGUUGAAACUGUCGUGUUUUUUUAGAGGUCUUUUAUUUCUUGAUAUGAGUUUUCGAGCCAAGAUUCUUUGGCUUGCUUAAUUUUUCUUUUUACGAGUUUGUCGAUAUCACAGUAUUUGUUAAUAUUUCUAUGUGUCAUCCACUCAUUUUUUGCCAGUAGGUACUCAUUAUAGGUGUUUUCAAAGACUCUUACUUCGUCUAAAAUCGAUUUUUCUAUGUUGUACCAAUAUUCGUUGAUGGUUCUAUUUAUGUUUGGUAUAUUCGUUAUUUUGUGUAUUUUUCUAUUUAUCUGCGUGAUAUGUGUUCCCGUGUUUGAGGGUUUCUAAAGGGGUCGAGAUAUAUCUUACUAGGCUUAGUUAAUUUCUUUAAUUUGAUUUGUAUUUUGGAGCAGAGUAGAUUAUAAUUUGAGUUUAUAUCAGCGCCGAGGUACGUUUUUACAUAUUUAAUAUUGUUUCCAAAUCGGUGGUUUACUAAGAAAAAAAACUUUAUACUUGUUACUAAUAAUAAUUAUUAUCAACAUCGUUUUGUUACUGUAAGUUGAUUCAUAUACGUCAUUUAUAAAUGGCCUGUUUUUUAAUAAAACAUAAAACUCACUGCAGUUUUUUUAUAGUAUUAAUGUUUGAAAAAAUUCUCAAGGUAUGUCCAUUUAAUUUUCCUGAGACUGAUUCCCUUUCUUCGAAAUAUCUAGUUUAAUAGUAAUGCAAACAUUGUCACUAUCACAGCAUUUAUUGUUUUCGUUUUUAAAAGAGUGAUAUAUAUUGUAGAAAAAUGCUUCAUCAGGUAUAUACAUGUGUAUUUAUUUUGCAUGAAGAAAUAUAAUAGUUUUUACAAA